Molecule: ribosomal RNA, 465 nt
Filed under: Vreelandella stevensii
Lineage: Bacteria; Pseudomonadati; Pseudomonadota; Gammaproteobacteria; Oceanospirillales; Halomonadaceae
Description: partial 16S ribosomal RNA
Rfam family: Bacterial small subunit ribosomal RNA
Source: RNAcentral
CCUACGGGCGGCAGCAGUGGGGAAUAUUGGACAAUGGGGGCAACCCUGAUCCAGCCAUGCCGCGUGUGUGAAGAAGGCCCUCGGGUUGUAAAGCACUUUCAGUGAGGAAGAACGCCUGGUGGUUAAUACCCAUCAGGAAAGACAUCACUCACAGAAGAAGCACCGGCUAACUCCGUGCCAGCAGCCGCGGUAAUACGGAGGGUGCGAGCGUUAAUCGGAAUUACUGGGCGUAAAGCGCGCGUAGGUGGCUUGAUAAGCCGGUUGUGAAAGCCCCGGGCUCAACCUGGGAACGGCAUCCGGAACUGUCAAGCUAGAGUGCAGGAGAGGAAGGUAGAAUUCCCGGUGUAGCGGUGAAAUGCGUAGAGAUCGGGAGGAAUACCAGUGGCGAAGGCGGCCUUCUGGACUGACACUGACACUGAGGUGCGAAAGCGUGGGUAGCAAACGGGAUUAGAUACCCUAGUAGUC